GGGCGCGUAGCUCAGUUGGGAGAGUGCUGCAUUCGCAUUGCAGAGGUCGAGGGUUCGACUCCCUUCGUGUCCACCA
Molecule: transfer RNA, 76 nt
Filed under: Clostridium sp.
Lineage: Bacteria; Bacillati; Bacillota; Clostridia; Eubacteriales; Clostridiaceae
Also listed under: 12 other names
Description: tRNA-Ala
Rfam family: tRNA
About the family: Transfer RNA (tRNA) molecules are approximately 80 nucleotides in length.
Source: RNAcentral